This 69-nucleotide transfer RNA is filed under the name Lepilemur sahamalaza. RNAcentral's name for it is "tRNA-His". It matches the Rfam family "tRNA". Rfam says of the family: Transfer RNA (tRNA) molecules are approximately 80 nucleotides in length. Their secondary structure includes four short double-helical elements and three loops (D, anti-codon, and T loops). Lineage: Eukaryota; Metazoa; Chordata; Mammalia; Primates; Lepilemuridae. The record is from RNAcentral.
GUAGAUGUAGUUUAAACAAAACGCUAAACUGUGAAUUUAGAUAUAGGAACUUAAAACCCCUUAUCUACC